AUGUUCUAUCUUAUUCAGCCUGGCAACCGCCACGGCUGCUGUGUGCCGGGCGGUGCCCGGGCGGCUGGGAGGGCGCGGCGGGAGGCGGCUCCGCGGGAGGCGGCGGUGACUCAGGCCUGGCAGCCCGGUUCUGGCGGGCCCGGGCACCGCGGCGGGCGGGGGCGGGGGCGGGGCCGGGGCGACGCGGGCGCCAUGUUACAGAGGCGGGGAGGGGAGCACCGUCCUGCCUCGGCGCUCGUUGACUUUAUCCUGCUGGCGGCGCCUGGGUGCCCGCGCAGCGCAAGGACGGCGGGACCGGGCCCUGCGGCGGGAGGGCGUGGGGGGAGUCCGGGUACUGUGGCCGAGGGUGAGCGGCGCAGGAAGGCCGGGCGCGUCCGGGUUAGCCGUGGUGUGUGGUGCGUAUGCACGCACAGCGCAGUCAGUGCGUGGCCGCGCAUCCCGUACCGUCCGUGCCUGGGUCUUGCUUCCUUCUGUAUGGUCAUGUAUGGUAAUUUCGUGUUCUGCUUUGACCAGCUGGUUUUCAUCCAUGAGCUGAUCUGAACCUUCUGUAGGCAGGUUGUGCCAAGAGAUGCACAGGGCUGUGUGCCAUUUGUAAGCUGCUUGGCUUUGAGUCCAUGUCAUCUGGCAUUUUCCCUAAUGGCAAAGAAAACUAACAUUGUAAGUGAAGAGUCUGUUGCAAAGAUGAAGCUGAUUCCUUCCCUGUGUGAAGUUAUCAGCACUCCAGUUCUAAUACGGAAUCUUCAAGAAUUGAAGAAGGAUGUUUGUGAGAUUCACAGACAGGAGUACAGCCUGGAGUGUGCUUCCUGAAUUACCUAAUACUCCGUCGACAAUGCUAAAGAAGCAGUUUUAGCACAUUUGUUGUAAAGAAAUUUCAAGGUUCUUUCAUAUCUAUUCAUUAGUCUAAGGAAAUUACAUUGUCUCCUUUUUUUAAGUGAAUAGUUUAAGAUAUAGUCCUGUCUUUAUUUGUCCUUCCAUUUAAUUUUAACUGAAACAACAUUCAAAAGGAGGUUAUUUUUUUUAAGGUCAGAGUUUUUUUUCAUGUUAUCUUUUAGAUAAUAUAUCUUUCCUACUGUCAGGAAACUUUGAGGCCCAAAAAAGUGAUGAUACUGCCAAUAGUGUCCUGGUAAUGAUAUAUGUAUUUAAAGCAGAAUUUAUUUGACUCAACAUUGGUGAUUACUAUGUAGGUGUCCACAACACGGCAAGUUCCCCAUGAUUAUUUUAUAGUCUGUGGAGGGCUUGUUACUAUGUCAAUGGAGCCUAGGAUGCAAUUCAGGCCUUCAAAAACAGAGAGGUGAACUGCAGCUAAACCCCACUGAGUACAGAGGGAGAUGAAUCAGCUACCUUAGAUAGAAAUACCUAAAAUUAGAUGGGAUAAAUAGCACUUCUAAUCUGAAGAUGAGAUUUAGGUUGAGUUGAACCAAAGAUGACUGUAAGGAAAGCAAGUUUCAUUUCGUUUAGGUCUUUUUCCUGUAUGAUACUGAAAUGUGAAUUUUCAAAUCCCCCUGAAGGUCAAAUCAAGAUUGGUUCGCAAAUUUUUUUUUGUGAUUGUUUCACAAAAAUUUUCAGCAAGGUUUCAGUGUGUGGCUUUACAAACCUUUUAUUCCUUAAAUAAUAAUUAUUUGUAAUAAAGUUUAAAAAUUACCUGUAAAGGAAAGUAAA
Anser brachyrhynchus (Pink-footed goose) is the source of this 1659-nucleotide long non-coding RNA. The record is from Ensembl. NCBI's taxonomy places the organism in Eukaryota, Metazoa, Chordata, Aves, Anseriformes, Anatidae.